UGCGGAUGGUCAUGCGGCGCAUUAGCUUGUUGGCGGGGUAACGGCCCACCAAGGCGACGAUGCGUAGGGGUUCUGAGAGGAAGGUCCCCCACACUGGUACUGAGACACGGACCAGACUCCUACGGGAGGCAGCAGUGAGGAAUAUUGGUCAAUGGCCGGGAGGCUGAACCAGCCAAGUCGCGUGAGGGAAGACGGCCCUACGGGUUGUAAACCUCUUUUGCCGGGGAGCAAAGGGCGGGAUGUGUCCCGCGUCGAGAGUACCCGGAGAAAAAGCAUCGGCUAACUCCGUGCCAGCAGCCGCGGUAAUACGGAGGAUGCGAGCGUUAUCCGGAUUUAUUGGGUUUAAAGGGUGCGCAGGCGGGAUGUCAAGUCAGCGGUAAAAUCGGGAGGCUCAACCUCUCUCAGCCGUUGAAACUGGCGUUCUUGAGUGGGCGAGAAGUAUGCGGAAUGCGUGGUGUAGCGGUGAAAUGCAUAGAUAUCACGCAGAACCCCGAUUGCGAAGGCAGCAUACCGGCGCCCGACUGACGCUCAUGCACGAAAGCGUGGGUAUCGAACAGGAUUAGAUACCCUGGUAGUCCACGCAGUAAACGAUGAAUACU
This 599-nucleotide ribosomal RNA is filed under the name uncultured bacterium. Its description in RNAcentral is "bacterial SSU rRNA". It matches the Rfam family "Bacterial small subunit ribosomal RNA", at positions 220 to 817 of the family's 1533-position model. The record is from RNAcentral.